AUAUAUAUAUUGACGGAUAUGAUUAUAGUGAUAGUAGUCGAUAUAUUAAGUUCUCGGGCUACGCGCUAGUGAUGUACUCGGUAGAUUAAUUUCUCGGGCUUCACAGCUAGUGGAUUAAGUGAAAUCGGUGAUGUACUCGGUAGUUUAAAUUCUCGAGUAUCACGGCGCCUUGGUUAUCAAUUGAUUUGUGGAUUAAGGGAUCGAUUGGUGAUGCAUCCUGGUAGAUAAAUUUCUCGGGAGUCACAAUCAUUUGGAUUUCAGAUAUUGUGGAUAUUUGAAGUUUAGCGCUACAGUUGGCUCCGUAACAAUGAUAUUAAAUAUUUUUCCAAAUAUUUUAUCGUUUUACUUAAUAUAUAAAUAUAUUUGUAUUAACUCACUCAAAUUUUUAUCUGACCUGUGGAUUUUAACAUUUUCAGGUGUUUUUAUCUUGGCGUGGUACUUCCGACGUUUCAAAUUUUCGUAAUGUUUUAAGCUUUUAAACUCUACAGGCGCAGUAGUAUGUAGUUGUCUGUUGAUCAGUUUAGUUUUCCUCAAGUUUAUGUUUGAUUAUGUUUGAUUAGUUUGGCAUAUGUUUUAUCAUUUAUGUCACGCUAGAUAAGAGUUGAGUCUCGAUUGUCGUCGAGCAUCGUGGAUUGUAUAAUGAUUUAUGUAUGUUUUAUUGUUUUCUAAGGUUUACACCGGGUUCAUAAAACUGAUUAGGUGUUUCAUUUGGUUAACUCUUUUAUUUCUUUUAAUACUUCUAUUAUAGUAGUUCAUCCUACUACUUUAGGAGUGGCAGUUGUUUGAUUUAGAGAAAUGAAUCCAUUUUUGCUGAUAAGUGAGCUUCUGCGGUUCAGACGUUGACCAAAACUGAGAGACAGGUUAGUCAAAUUAUGGAAGCUUGAUGUUUGAGUUCUGUGAAUUGUGUGCAGGGUAGCAAGAAUCAGAAACAUAUCAGCUGGCGUUCUCCCGAUUUGAAUUGGUUUAAGAUAAAUACGGAAGGAGCGUUUAAUCUGUCUUUGAAAACGACUAUAGCUGGGGGUCGGGGUCUUGCAAGGGACAACUACGGUAGAUAGUUUCAAUGCUAAUCUGGGCAUGGGGACUGUCCUUGGUGCCGAACUUAGAGGAGUGUUACAUGGAUUAGAGUUGGGAUGGGACUUAGUUGCUACUUGCAACAACUCUUUUGUGGCAAUGCUGUACGAAGAAUUCUGUAUCAAAACAAAGAGCUUCGAAAACUGCAUUAUUAUUAAUAUUGCAUAAAGAAGAAUGCUCAUAGCAAAAUUGGUCGACCGGUAGCAGUACACCAACACUAACUGGUUUCAAGAUUCUACUAUCAGCAAAAUAGGUACAGAAAUCCUGCCCGCCAUGAAUGUGAAAACUACAGUGACGAUAUAAAAGAAUCUAGGAAGAAUGAUGAUACAGAAUUGGCAGGUUUAUUUCCUCCCAGCCUUGCCCUUUUUCACCGGAACGAGUGUUACUUUUUUGCCUGAAUCAAUAGUUCUCGUCUCAGCUUGUCUUAGCAAUGAUAUUGUGGCUUGAUGCAGAUUUUCGUUUGCUUGCUCGCCUGUAAAUGGUUUCACCUCAAAUGCUCCCCUGGUGAAGCCUCUAGCAACCUGAGGAUCAAAUCUUUACCGAUCAAUGUUUAGCCAGAUUACAAGAUAAUUAAACAGAAUAUUGCAAGCAAAAUUUAUUUGUAACUUUCCAUGUUAUCGACAAGCUUUUAUGCUGCACAAAAACUUGUUGAGUUCUACAUUUUGGAGUUU
Long non-coding RNA from Mercurialis annua (annual mercury), 1742 nucleotides. RefSeq lists it as uncharacterized. The transcript is spliced from 2 exons. The record is from RefSeq and is a predicted model, not a curated record. Lineage: Eukaryota; Viridiplantae; Streptophyta; Magnoliopsida; Malpighiales; Euphorbiaceae.